RNAcentral lists this ribosomal RNA (500 nucleotides) under uncultured bacterium. RNAcentral describes it as "partial 16S ribosomal RNA". It matches the Rfam family "Bacterial small subunit ribosomal RNA", at positions 30 to 523 of the family's 1533-position model. The record is from RNAcentral.
AUUGAACGCUGGCGGCAUGCCUUACACAUGCAAGUCGAACGGCAGCACGGGAGCAAUCCUGGUGGCGAGUGGCGAACGGGUGAGUAAAGUAUCGGAACGUGCCCAGUCGUGGGGGAUAACGUAGCGAAAGUUACGCUAAUACCGCAUACGAUCUACGGAUGAAAGCGGGGGAUCGCAAGACCUCGCGCGAUUGGAGCGGCCGAUAUCAGAUUAGGUAGUUGGUGGGGUAAAGGCUCACCAAGCCGACGAUCUGUAGCUGGUCUGAGAGGACGACCAGCCAAACUGGGACUGAGACACGGCCCAGACUCCUACGGGAGGCAGCAGUGGGGAAUUUUGGACAAUGGGCGAAAGCCUGAUCCAGCCAUGCCGCGUGCAGGAUGAAGGCCUUCGGGUUGUAAACUGCUUUUGUACGGAACGAAAAGGUUUGGCCUAAUAAGCUGAGCUCAUGACGGUACCGUAAGAAUAAGCACCGGCUAACUACGUGCCAGCCGCCGCGGUAA